ACGGGUGCGUAACACGUGGGUAAACUGCCCUUUGGUGGGGAAUAACCUCGCGAAAGCGAGGCUAAUUCCGCAUAAGAUCCGCAAGGAUGAAAGCCGCAAGGCGCCGAACGAGGGGCCCGUGCACGAU
Molecule: ribosomal RNA, 127 nt
Filed under: uncultured bacterium
Lineage: Bacteria
Description: partial 16S ribosomal RNA
Rfam family: Bacterial small subunit ribosomal RNA
Source: RNAcentral